UACGUAGGGUGCAAGCGUUGUCCGGAAUUAUUGGGCGUAAAGAGCUCGUAGGCGGUCUGUCGCGUCGGAUGUGAAAAUCCAGGGCUCAACCCUGGACCUGCAUUCGAUACGGGCAGACUAGAGUUCGGUAGGGGAGACUGGAAUUCCUGGUGUAGCGGUGAAAUGCGCAGAUAUCAGGAGGAACACCGGUGGCGAAGGCGGGUCUCUGGGCCGAAACUGACGCUGAGACGCGAAAGCGUGGGGAGCGAACCGG
Molecule: ribosomal RNA, 253 nt
Filed under: uncultured bacterium
Lineage: Bacteria
Description: partial 16S ribosomal RNA
Rfam family: Bacterial small subunit ribosomal RNA
Source: RNAcentral